RNAcentral lists this ribosomal RNA (253 nucleotides) under uncultured bacterium. Its description in RNAcentral is "partial 16S ribosomal RNA". It matches the Rfam family "Bacterial small subunit ribosomal RNA", at positions 524 to 776 of the family's 1533-position model. The record is from RNAcentral.
CACGUAGGGAGCAAGCGUUGUCCGGAUUUAUUGGGCGUAAAGAGCGUGUAGGCGGCUUGGUAGGUCCGCUGUGAAAACUCGAGGCUCAACCUCGAGAUGUCGGCGGAAACCACUUGGCUAGAGUCCGGAAGAGGAGAGUGGAAUUCCCGGUGUAGCGGUGAAAUGCGCAGAUAUCGGGAAGAACACCUAUGGCGAAGGCAGCUCUCUGGGACGGUACUGACGCUGAGACGCGAAAGCGUGGGGAGCGAACAGG